ACUUUCUCCACUCUUGAGAGCCUCCGUUGCAAUAGUAUGAGCAUAGAUGUUAUUAACUUUUGGAAUAAAAGAAAACUCAACCUUCUGGUAUCUGCGUUUCUUGCUCUGAAUAUCUCUGAUUAUUGCUCCUAUGACCGAUCUAUCAAUAAUAGAAUUUUGGCACUUCAUGAUAACCGUUUUUGAAUCUCCCAUAACUUCAAGUAUGUUGAAUCCCAGACUAAUACCUAGUUUUACUGCUUGUAAUCCUGCAUAUGCCUCUGCUGUAAAUGGGUCUUCUAUGUUGGAGUGAUGAACUGUCUGUGACGCUAGGAUUUCUCCUUCCCCAUUCCAUGCUAUUAGUCCCGAUGCCGAUCUGAACGUCUGACGGUCAAAAGCUGCGUCGAAAUGAACUGUUGCCCUUCCCCUUUUGAACACCUGGUGACACUUAUCCGAAGAGUGUAAAUUGAUUUCUAUUGAACCAAAUAAACCAGAGACCACAAUAGAAUAUUUGAAGUUGCUCAACAUUUCCUUGUCCAAAGAUUCCAGAUUUCUUCAUCAUCAUCAUCAAUAGACAGACCGGCGAAAUCUGACUCCAUGGACAAUUACGUGAGAAACAGAUUAAGAGAAUUAAUUCAGACCCUUUAGAUGGUAGCCGUCGAACCAAGAAACUUUUGAAAACCUAGACUUGCUAAGGAGGCAGACAGAAACGUGCUAGGGUAGCA
Molecule: long non-coding RNA, 701 nt
Organism: Gossypium raimondii (Peruvian cotton)
Lineage: Eukaryota; Viridiplantae; Streptophyta; Magnoliopsida; Malvales; Malvaceae
Exons: 3
Source: RefSeq, a predicted model, not a curated record